GUGCCAGCAGCCGCGGUAAUACGUAGGUGGCAAGCGUUGUCCGGAAUUAUUGGGCGUAAAGCGCGCGCAGGUGGUUCUUUAAGUCUGAAGUGAAAGCCCACGGCUCAACCGUGGAGGGUCAUUGGAAACUGGGGAACUUGAGUGCAGAAGAGGAAAGUGGAAUUCCACGUGUAGCGGUGAAAUGCGUAAAGAUGUGGAAGGAACACCAGUGGCGAAGGCGACUUUCUGGUCUGUAACUGACACUGAGGCGCGAAAGCGUGGGGAGCGAACAGGAUUAGAUACCCUGGUAGUCC
This 293-nucleotide ribosomal RNA is filed under the name uncultured microorganism. Its description in RNAcentral is "partial 16S ribosomal RNA". It matches the Rfam family "Bacterial small subunit ribosomal RNA", at positions 505 to 796 of the family's 1533-position model. The record is from RNAcentral.